GAGGGUAUAGCUCAAGUGGUAGAGCACAUGCUUAGCACGUACGAGAUCCUGGAUUCAAUCCCCAGUACUUCCU
RNAcentral lists this transfer RNA (73 nucleotides) under Camelus bactrianus (Bactrian camel). It matches the Rfam family "tRNA". Rfam says of the family: Transfer RNA (tRNA) molecules are approximately 80 nucleotides in length. Their secondary structure includes four short double-helical elements and three loops (D, anti-codon, and T loops). RNAcentral also lists the same sequence under 2 other names. Lineage: Eukaryota; Metazoa; Chordata; Mammalia; Artiodactyla; Camelidae. The record is from Rfam by way of RNAcentral.